AUCCCAGAUAAGGCUCUUUGUAUUUAUCUGAUUCAUGGGAGGCAAAUACUGACAGUGGAAGUUUUGCUGUCAGCGCUCUUUUAACCUUGCAGGAUGUGUUUUACUAGUAUCUUCCUAAGGUAU
Small nucleolar RNA from Gastrolobium bilobum, 123 nucleotides. Lineage: Eukaryota; Viridiplantae; Streptophyta; Magnoliopsida; Fabales; Fabaceae. The record is from RefSeq and is a predicted model, not a curated record.